AGCGGUUAGCCCGGUGUUCGUUGCUUGUUGCCGCUGCUGCCAGAAAUGACGUGUUCGGCGCUCGGGCUGCCCUUUUAUCGCCUAGACAAGGCACUGCACCCGGAUGACGCUGGAGGUUGAUUUGCGGGGGCGGGACUGUGCUCGUGGCCUCCAGCAGUGCAGACUGUGAUGCAGAUGGGCCAGCAGCCUGACUUGCGUCGCAGUUGGAACCGCAGCGUUGGACAAGGCACUGCACCCGGAUGACGCUGGAGGUUGAUUUGCGGGGGCGGGACUGUGCUCGUGGCCUCCAGCAGUGCAGACUGUGAUGCAGAUGGGCCAGCAGCCUGACUUGCGUCGCAGUUGGAACCGCAGCGUUGGACAAGGCACUGCACCCGGAUGACGCUGGAGGUUGAUUUGCGGGGGCGGGACUGUGCUCGUGGCCUCCAGCAGUGCAGACUGUGAUGCAGAUGGGCCAGCAGCCUGACUUGCGUCGCAGUUGGAACCGCAGCGUUGGACAAGGCACUGCACCCGGAUGACGCUGGAGGUUGAUUUGCGGGGGCGGGACUGUGCUCGUGGCCUCCAGCAGUGCAGACUGUGAUGCAGA
RNAcentral lists this long non-coding RNA (583 nucleotides) under Ixodes scapularis (black-legged tick). RNAcentral's name for it is "uncharacterized LOC121834837, transcript variant X2". Lineage: Eukaryota; Metazoa; Arthropoda; Arachnida; Ixodida; Ixodidae. The record is from RNAcentral.